GCAUCGAUAGCUCAGCGGUAGAGCGCUCAUCGUACAUGAGAGGUCACAGGUUCAAAUCCUGUUCGAUGGC
Non-coding RNA from Aphelenchus avenae, 70 nucleotides. NCBI's taxonomy places the organism in Eukaryota, Metazoa, Nematoda, Chromadorea, Rhabditida, Aphelenchidae. The record is from the annotation of a GenBank genome assembly.